AACGAACGCUGGCGGCAUGCCUAACACAUGCAAGUCGAACGAGACCUUCGGGUCUAGUGGCGCACGGGUGCGUAACGCGUGGGAACCUGCCCUUAGGUUCGGAAUAACUCCCCGAAAGGGGUGCUAAUACCGGAUAAUGUCUUCGGACCAAAGAUUUAUCGCCUUUGGAUGGGCCCGCGUUGGAUUAGCUAGUUGGUAGGGUAAAAGCCUACCAAGGCGACGAUACAUAGCUGGUCUGAGAGGAUGAUCAGCCACACUGGGACUGAGACACGGCCCAGAAUCCUACGGGAGGCAGCAGUGGGGAAUAUUGGACAAUGGGCGAAAGCCUGAUCCAGCAAUGACGCGUGAGUGAUGAAGGCCUUAGGGUUGUAAAGCUCUUUUACCCGGGAUGAUAAUGACAGUACCGGGAGAAUAAGCUCCGGCUAACUCCGUG
Molecule: ribosomal RNA, 433 nt
Filed under: uncultured bacterium
Lineage: Bacteria
Description: partial 16S ribosomal RNA
Rfam family: Bacterial small subunit ribosomal RNA
Source: RNAcentral